This 95-nucleotide signal recognition particle RNA is filed under the name Corynebacterium freneyi. RNAcentral's name for it is "signal recognition particle sRNA small type". It matches the Rfam family "Bacterial small signal recognition particle RNA". From Rfam's summary of the family: The signal recognition particle (SRP) is a universally conserved ribonucleoprotein involved in the co-translational targeting of proteins to membranes. Archaeal SRP consists of a 7S RNA and homologues of the eukaryotic SRP19 and SRP54 proteins. The record is from RNAcentral. Lineage: Bacteria; Bacillati; Actinomycetota; Actinomycetes; Mycobacteriales; Corynebacteriaceae. RNAcentral also lists the same sequence under 3 other names.
GCCGGACCCCAUGCGGCGUCCAUCUCGUGAACUCCCCCAGGGCAGGAAUGCAGCAAGGGUCAGCGGGCUCUGGCGGGUGCGUGGGGUCCCCUCAU